Molecule: long non-coding RNA, 671 nt
Organism: Urocitellus parryii (Arctic ground squirrel)
Lineage: Eukaryota; Metazoa; Chordata; Mammalia; Rodentia; Sciuridae
Source: Ensembl
GGUCCCUGCGGGGCAGGAGAGGCGGAGAGAGACCCUGGGAACAUCCUGGGUGGCCACCCGUCGGUGCCCGAAGUAUGGCGGGACGGAGGAUGGAAGUCACCAGGACACGGAUUUAGAUUUGACUGAAUGAGUUGGACAGAAUAUUUUCCCCCAGCAGAGGAGGCAGCUACCACGUCUCCUCURUGGAGGAAUUCAAGAACACUUCAGCUCAGAGGGCACAAUUUUCAUGGGGCUUGCAGGGCCUGCCAGAGCACCACAGCCAUGGGGUCUGAAUAGGCAACUGUUGGGCUCUCUUCUGAUUCAGGGAAGCAUUUUCAAGAAACUUAUCCUUCUUGGGGAGUGAAGUCUGUGAAGUGUCCCAACCUGUUCGCCUGCUGUCCUGUUGGCAUAAGAGCAGUUCUCUACGGGAUCUGUGUUGAACACUGCAUCACAUGGGAAGAAAUAGAUUGUGGUUUUGCUAGACUUUUUGUAAUAGGAAUAUUAUUUCCUGAUGGUUGUAAGACAUCUGUCCAGGUACAUUAUCCAACUGGAAAAAUAUCUCAAGAAUCGUACUUGCAGCAAUAAUCAAAAUCUCCUCCCUAGCCAUCAAAUGUAAUAUGARCUUUAUGUCCCCUUGCACUGCCACAGAUUGCCAGGCAGAUCAGAUAGGGAUUCUUUCUGUUGCUUCAUUU